UGUAUGCCUCCCUGUUCUCUAGAAGCCCACUUUUCAUUCGGCUUUUAUCUAUUCCAAAGGAGAAAGCGGCACCCAUCUAGAAUCCACAUUAUUUUAAUCCUCUCAAUUAAUUAAUUCCUGUGUUAGAUUCAAAAUUGAAAAUGAGUUCCCAGCGAUUGAUUGGGACUCUCUUUCUUUGUCGCUUUAUUUAUUUGUGAUAUAUAUGAUCCAGCUUCCUGCUUCAUUUCUUCAGUCCAUAGCAUAGCAAGGAUGGGUCUCCGCCUUCCCAAGCCUCAUCUUCCUCUCCUCCUCCUCCUCGUCUCCCUGCUUUUUCUCCUCCGUCUCACCUCUCCCACGGCCGCGGAAGCCCGGCCUCUCCCUAAUUCCCUACCUCAUCAACAACAACAACAACAACAGCAGAGAAUCUCAAAUCUGUUUGCGACGCUGGGGAUGGAGUGCAAGUGCUGCGACGGCGGAGAAUGCACAGGCGCAUGGGUCAAGCCUUGCUCCGACCUCCAAUGCCUGCCAUGGAAGCUCCAUUAGCAUUCAUUAUUUUGUGCACAAUUAAUUAAUGUUAAUCUUUGGCUGUACUGUACAUGUAGGGAUAUAUAGCUAAAUAUAUAUAGACAGCUGUCGGUUGCGUGUAUUUAUUUUUAUAUAUAUAUAUAUAGCUAAAUUCAAUGAAGUGGGUUCCGGCCCAGCAGCUUGAGUUUUCCGGCCA
Diospyros lotus (date-plum) is the source of this 700-nucleotide long non-coding RNA. RefSeq lists it as uncharacterized. The record is from RefSeq and is a predicted model, not a curated record. The transcript has 2 exons. Lineage: Eukaryota; Viridiplantae; Streptophyta; Magnoliopsida; Ericales; Ebenaceae.